ACCCGAAUAGCCAAGUGGUGAAGGCGUUGCAACUUAUAAUGCAAACAUCGGGGGUUCAAAUCCUCCUUCGGGUA
Non-coding RNA from Wilcoxina mikolae CBS 423.85, 74 nucleotides. The record is from the annotation of a GenBank genome assembly. Lineage: Eukaryota; Fungi; Ascomycota; Pezizomycetes; Pezizales; Pyronemataceae.